This 253-nucleotide ribosomal RNA is filed under the name uncultured bacterium. RNAcentral's name for it is "partial 16S ribosomal RNA". It matches the Rfam family "Bacterial small subunit ribosomal RNA", at positions 524 to 776 of the family's 1533-position model. The record is from RNAcentral.
UACGAAGGGGGCUAGCGUUGCUCGGAAUCACUGGGCGUAAAGCGUGCGUAGGCGGUUCGUUAAGUCUGCUGUGAAAGCCCUGGGCUCAACCUGGGAACUGCAGUGGAUACUGGCGGACUAGAGUGUGAUAGAGGAUGGUGGAAUUCCCGGUGUAGCGGUGAAAUGCGUAGAGAUCGGGAGGAACACCAGUGGCGAAGGCGGCCAUCUGGAUCAACACUGACGCUGAGGCACGAAAGCGUGGGGAGCAAACAGG